RNAcentral lists this ribosomal RNA (492 nucleotides) under uncultured bacterium. RNAcentral's name for it is "partial 16S ribosomal RNA". It matches the Rfam family "Bacterial small subunit ribosomal RNA", at positions 29 to 507 of the family's 1533-position model. The record is from RNAcentral.
AGUGAACGCUGGCGGUAGGCCUAACACAUGCAAGUCGAACGGCAGCACAGUAAGAGCUUGCUCUUACGGGUGGCGAGUGGCGGACGGGUGAGGAAUACAUCGGAAUCUACUUUUUCGUGGGGGAUAACGUAGGGAAACUUACGCUAAUACCGCAUACGACCUACGGGUGAAAGCAGGGGAUCUUCGGACCUUGCGCGAUUGAAUGAGCCGAUGUCGGAUUAGCUAGUUGGCGGGGUAAAGGGCCAGCAAGGCGACUAUCCGUAGCUGGUCUGAGAGGAUGGUCCGCCACCCUGGAACUGAGACACGGUCCAGACUCCUACGGGAGGCAGCAGUGGGGAAUAUUGGACAAUGGGCGCAAGCCUGAUCCAGCCAUACCGCGUGGGUGAAGAAGGCCUUCGGGUUGUAAAGCCCUUUUGUUGGGAAAGAAAAGCAGCAGGUUAAUACCCCGCUGUUCUGACGGUACCCAAAGAAUAAGCACCGGCUAACUUCGUG